Long non-coding RNA from Herpailurus yagouaroundi (jaguarundi), 470 nucleotides. RefSeq lists it as uncharacterized. The transcript has 2 exons. The record is from RefSeq and is a predicted model, not a curated record. NCBI's taxonomy places the organism in Eukaryota, Metazoa, Chordata, Mammalia, Carnivora, Felidae.
GACAGCCUGGGGUAGAGAAUUCCGUGCCUUCUCUCAGAUCUCAAUGGCGGAAGUUGAACCCGGGGCCAAUUUACUCCCAAAUGGUGUUCCUUGGCUCUACGCCCUGUUUGCUAUGCUUUUUGUAUUUUUUCUCUUUGUCAUGUUCUCUCCCUUUUUACUUGAGAUUGAACAGUAUAUAAAGAAAUGCUGCCCUCUGGAGUCUCCAAGGAGAGACGUUCUGGGAAGGAAGGAAGACAGGAUGAGAAAAGAUCCCUCUCUACUUGUGAGGGUAGCAAGGGAUUCUGAGGCUGACAUCUGCACCCCUGGGCCAUCAGUUUGAGAGUGGCUGAGCCUGUAAGGAAUCACCUGUGACAUCGUAUUCCAGACAUGAGAGGGCUUCUGAGUCCCUCAUUAUGUAUGUUUAUACUGAAAAAAAAAAAAAAAAGAGAGAGAGAGAGAAAGAUAAUAAAUAUUUUGAGACUCUCAGAAAA